This 46-nucleotide non-coding RNA is filed under the name Trichobilharzia regenti. The record is from RNAcentral. Lineage: Eukaryota; Metazoa; Platyhelminthes; Trematoda; Strigeidida; Schistosomatidae.
GUACUGAUGAAGAGUUCCAAACUAGGACGAAACGGCUGUCAAGUAC